GUUGGGUAGGGGAGCGUUCUGUAAGCCUGUGAAGGUGGCCUGUGAGGGUUGCUGGAGGUAUCAGAAGUGCGAAUGCUGACAUAAGUAACGAUAAAGCGGGUGAAAAGCCCGCUCGCCGGAAGACCAAGGGUUCCUGUCCAACGUUAAUCGGGGCAGGGUGAGUCGACCCCUAAGGCGAGGCCGAAAGGCGUAGUCGAUGGGAAACGGGUUAAUAUUCCCGUACUUGGUGUUACUGCGAAGGGGGGACGGAGAAGGCUAUGUUGGCCGGGCGACGGUUGUCCCGGUUUAAGCGUGUAGGUGUGUGUUCCAGGUAAAUCCGGUUCACUUUAACACUGAGGCGUGAUGACGAGGCACUACGGUGCUGAAGCAACAAAUGCCCUGCUUCCAGGAAAAGCCUCUAAGCAUCAGGUAACAUCAAAUCGUACCCCAAACCGACACAGGUGGUCAGGUAGAGAAUACCAAGGCGCUUGAGAGAACUCGGGUGAAGGAACUAGGCAAAAUGGUGCCGUAACUUCGGGAGAAGGCACGCUGACA
RNAcentral lists this ribosomal RNA (534 nucleotides) under Salmonella enterica subsp. enterica serovar Derby. Its description in RNAcentral is "partial 23S ribosomal RNA". It matches the Rfam family "Bacterial large subunit ribosomal RNA", at positions 1223 to 1756 of the family's 2925-position model. RNAcentral also lists the same sequence under 7 other names. Lineage: Bacteria; Pseudomonadati; Pseudomonadota; Gammaproteobacteria; Enterobacterales; Enterobacteriaceae. The record is from RNAcentral.